Molecule: ribosomal RNA, 2059 nt
Filed under: human gut metagenome
Description: bacterial LSU rRNA
Rfam family: Bacterial large subunit ribosomal RNA
Source: RNAcentral
UCAAGCUAAUAAGGGCGUUCGGUGGAUGCCUUGGCGCUAAGAGCCGAAGAAGGACGCGGUAAGCUGCGAAAAGCUACGACGAGCUGCAAGCAAGCGACGACUCGUAGAUAUCCGAAUGGGAAAACCCCACUGGAGUAAUAUCCAGUGAUCCUAUAGCCAAUCCAUAACUAUAGGAAGGCAACCUGGGGAACUGAAACAUCUAAGUACCCAGAGGAAAAUAAAGAAAACUCGAUUCCCCCAGUAGCGGCGAGCGAAAAGGGAAAAGCCCAAACCAACACUCCGGUGUUGGGGUUGAAGGACCUCCAUCACGGAAUUAAGGCAUAGUCGAAGGACUUGGGAAAGUCCAUCAUAGAAGGUAAAAAUCCUGUAGACGAAAUGUCAAGAGACCAGGAGGGAUCCUGAGUACCACGAGGCACGUGAAAUCUCGUGGGAAACCGGGGGGACCACCCCCCAAGGCUAAAUACUCCUUAGCGACCGAUAGAGAACAAGUACCGUGAGGGAAAGGUGAAAAGCACCCCGGGAGGGGAGUGAAAAAGAACCUGAAACCGAGCGCUUACAAGCUGUCACAGCACCAUACGAGUGUAGUGGCGUACUUUUUGUAGAACGGACCGGCGAGUUGCGUUAUCAAGCGAGGUUAAGUAGGGAAUACGGAGCCGAAGCGAAAGCGAGUCUGAAAAGGGCAAAAGUUUGAUGACGCAGACCCGAAACCGGGUGAUCUACCCAUGAGCAGGAUGAAGCGUUAGUAAAAUAACGUGGAGGUCCGAACCAGGUAACGUUGAAAAGUUAUUGGAUGACUUGUGGGUAGGGGUGAAAUUCCAAUCGAACCCGGAGAUAGCUGGUUCUCCUCGAAAUAGCUUUAGGGCUAGCCUUAACGUAAAGGUUUAUGGAGGUAGAGCACUGAAUUGGCUAGGGGGCCUCACCGCUUACUGAACCAUAUCAAACUGCGAAUGCCAUAAACUAUAGUUAGGAGUCAGACUGUGGGGGAUAAGCUUCAUGGUCAAAAGGGAAACAGCCCAGACCGCCAGCUAAGGUCCCCAAGUGGAUGUUAAGUGGAAAAGGAUGUGAAAUCGCUCAGACAACCAGGAUGUUGGCUCAGAAGCAGCCACCAUUUAAAGAGUGCGUAAUAGCUCACUGGUCCAGGGGUUUUGCGCCGAAAAUGUAACGGGGCUCAAACAUGCCACCGAAGCUGCGGAAUUGUAUAGAGAUAUAUAAUUGGUAGAGGAGCGUUCUUAACACGACGAAGGCAUACUGAAAAGAGUGCUGGAGAGUUAAGAAGUGAGAAUGCCGGUAUAAGUAUGCGAAAAGGCAGGUGAGAAUCCUGCCCGCCGAAAAUCUAAGGAUUCCUGGGGAAGGCUCGUCCGGCAGGUGAGAAUCCUGCCCGCCGAAAAUCUAAGGAUUCCUGGGGAAGGCUCGUCCGCCCAGGGUAAGUCGGGACCUAAGGCGAGGCCGAAAGGCGUAGUCGAUGGAAAACUGGUAGAGAUUCCAGUACCGCCAAAUAUCGAUUGAGUGAAGUAGUGACGCAGAAAGAUAGGGAGAGCGCCCAGAUGGUGAGGCGUUUAAGUAGGUAGGGUGGUAUGUAGGCAAAUCCGCAUACUAAAAGCCUGAGAUACGAAUACGAGUGAAAACUAGUAACGAAGUCCCCGAUUCUCCGCUGCCAAGAAAAGCUGCUAACGAGAUAUAAGGCGCCCGUACCGCAAACCGACACAGGUAGAUGGGGUGAGAAACCUAAGGCGCGCGAGAAAACUCUUGUUAAGGAACUCGGCAAAAUGAACCCGUAACUUAGGGAGAAGGGUUGCUCUUUAGUGUGAGUGCCCAAGCGGCAUAGAGCACAGAAGAGUCGCAGAGAAAAGGUCCAGGCGACUGUUUAGCAAAAACACAGGUCAUUGCAAAAUCGGAAGAUGAAGUAUAAUGGCUGACGCCUGCCCGGUGCUGGAAGGUUAAGGGGAAAUGUGAGAGCAUAGAACCGAAGCCCCAGUAAACGGCGGCCGUAACUAUAACGGUCCUAAGGUAGCGAAAUUCCUUGUCGGGUAAGUUCCGACCCGCACGAAAGGCGUAACGA